This 492-nucleotide ribosomal RNA is filed under the name uncultured bacterium. RNAcentral describes it as "partial 16S ribosomal RNA". It matches the Rfam family "Bacterial small subunit ribosomal RNA", at positions 29 to 507 of the family's 1533-position model. The record is from RNAcentral.
AGUGAACGCUGGCGGUAGGCCUAACACAUGCAAGUCGAACGAAAGCACAGUAAGAGCUUGCUCUUACGGGUGGCGAGUGGCGGACGGGUGAGGAAUACAUCGGAAUCUACUUUUUCGUGGGGGAUAACGUAGGGAAACUGACGCUAAUACAGCAUACGACCUACGGGUGAAAGCAGGGGAUCUUCGGACCUUGCGCGAUUGAAUGAGCCGAUGUCGGAUUAGCUAGUUGGCGGGGUAAAGGCACACCAAGGCAACGAUCCGUAGCUGGUCUGAGAGGAUGAUCAGCCACACUGGAACUGAGACACGGUCCAGACUCCUACGGGAGGCAGCAGUGGGGAAUAUUGGACAAUGGGCGCAAGCCUGAUCCAGCCAUACCGCGUGGGUGAAGAAGGCCUUCGGGUUGUAAAGCCCUUUUGUUGGGAAAGAAAAGCAGCAGGUUAAUACCCCGCUGUUCUGACGGUACCCAAAGAAUAAGCACCGGCUAACUUCGUG